CGGCGGACGGGUGAGUAACACGUGGAUAACCUACCUAUAAGACUGGGAUAACUUCGGGAAACCGGAGCUAAUACCAGAUAACAUGUUGAACCGCAUGGUUCAACAGUGAAAGACGGUCUUGCUGUCACUUAUAGAUGGAUCCGCGCCGCAUUAGCUAGUUGGUAAGGUAACGGCUUACCAAGGCAACGAUGCGUAGCCGACCUGGGAGGGUGAUCGGCCACACUGGAACUGAGACACGGUCCAG
This 244-nucleotide ribosomal RNA is filed under the name uncultured Staphylococcus sp. RNAcentral's name for it is "partial 16S ribosomal RNA". It matches the Rfam family "Bacterial small subunit ribosomal RNA", at positions 96 to 334 of the family's 1533-position model. Lineage: Bacteria; Bacillati; Bacillota; Bacilli; Caryophanales; Staphylococcaceae. The record is from RNAcentral.